RNAcentral lists this transfer RNA (66 nucleotides) under Hydrotaea spinigera. RNAcentral describes it as "tRNA-Glu". Lineage: Eukaryota; Metazoa; Arthropoda; Insecta; Diptera; Muscidae. The record is from RNAcentral. RNAcentral also lists the same sequence under 1 other name.
AUUUAUAUAGUUUAAAUAAAACAUUACAUUUUCAUUGUAAAAUUAAAAAAAUAUUUUUUAUAAAUU